GUCGCAGUCAGCCUAAGU
This 18-nucleotide non-coding RNA is filed under the name Rattus norvegicus (Norway rat). The record is from RNAcentral. Lineage: Eukaryota; Metazoa; Chordata; Mammalia; Rodentia; Muridae.